AGUGCCCACAGCAGGUGUGCCAUAAGCGACGGACCAGGGCCUCCUCCUCAGCAUCGCCACCGCAGCUCUAGAGCUUCUCCCAGCUUCUCUGCACCACCUGCCCGGGAUGAAGCCCUUGGCCUGUGGUCAGGUCCAGGCUUAGGCGGAAGCAGCACCCUGUGAGGAGUCAUACGCAGACCCCUGCACUUGCUGGCCCUGUACGCCACUUGCUGCUCUGCCGACUUGCAAUGCUGAUUCCCAGGUUACUCGUCGGGGCUGUCCCACCGGGUUACCGGCAAUAAGGGCGAGCACCUUUGCCCCCUCGUCCGUUCUGCCUGUGGAACCAGCCCACACAGCGUUUCUCCUUCUCCUGGGCAGCCCGCGGCCCACGCCCCGGCCUUCCCAGCUUCUCUGUGAGCUGACGCGACGUGUGUCCCUGGCAGCCUCUCACUGUGCUCCAGUUCUGACUGCAGCGAGUGGACUUCUGUCAGCAGGCAGAGUAUCUUCGCCUGAUAUACAAGACCAGGAACAAGAAAGGCUGACCCUUACGGAUGGUGUGAGGACGUGGCCCAGACGUUCGCCUGUGAAAGUGGCCAUUCAUUAUGCAGUUCCCCACGAGCAGCACAAGUAUAAUUGGCACAUUGGGCUGCAUAUUGCACGGUCCUUUAAAUAUCUCUUCUGAUGUGUUAAAAUUAGCCUUUUCCUAAACCGCUAAAAGAGAAAGGAAUGUCCCUUUUAAGCAAAUGUGCAGAGAAAGCGCCCAUCUGUCUGGAGCAGUUGAAAGUGGUCCUAUCUAAAGUCGAGGGCGUACACCAGGUGACCUUUCAAGGUGGCACCCAGACUGAAGAUGUUACACUCUCCCCUUUUGAUUAAGAAGAAAGGUCUUUCUUGAGACUUCAGAGUGAUUGUAUCACAAUGAGGAUUGGCGAGAAGAGGGAUGGGUCUAGGUUUUGAGUUGGGGGCCAGGAACGGGAGGGACGAGUAAAUGGUUUACUGCACAGAAAACGAUGCUGUUUGAUUUAAGCCCCUCCUCACGCCCACCCCCAGACCAGAGGCAUGGGAGGGCACGCAGCCGCCCUGGGUCCCUCGGUGCAAGGGAAGGAGCAGUGAUUUGAAUCCACAUCCGUAUGACUCUGAGGGCCACGCUGGUGAAAUUGUGCUGCUACCGAGGUCCAGGGAAAACUGAUUCUGGUGUUUCUUCCCUAGUUAAACACAAUUCCCCCAAUGGCCUAGAAACCACAUGUGAGGCUAUUAAAGCAAAUUCCAGGGAAGCCCUUUGGGAAUGCUUCUGGCCUUGAACCUGGUGUUAUUGGCCGUGGAGGUGUCCUCAGCUUCCCCUGCAGAUACCAGGUCUGACCUGACAGCCUGACUGCAGUGAGCUCUGACCUAGAAGCUGCAGGCGGCCGUGGCCUCCAGGGCAGGGUGGGCAGGGUGUGUAGAGGCAGGGGUGAGGCUGCUGUCCUUGGGAUCCAUGUCUGGAGGGAGAUAUUGCAACAGAUUGCAAAGCACACUUUUUUUUUUUGCUUCAUUGAUAUUUCAAAGGUAGGUGCUACAUUUACAUCAGAAAACAGAGACAUGGGAGUUCCUCCUGUAGCUCAGCAGAAACAAAUCUGACUAGCAUCCAUGAGGACGCAGGUUCAAUCCCUGGCCUUGCUUAGUGGGUUAAGGAUCUGGCAUUGCCG
RNAcentral lists this long non-coding RNA (1661 nucleotides) under Sus scrofa (pig). Its description in RNAcentral is "lncRNA (ENSSSCG00070020075.1)". Lineage: Eukaryota; Metazoa; Chordata; Mammalia; Artiodactyla; Suidae. The record is from RNAcentral.